This 460-nucleotide ribosomal RNA is filed under the name uncultured bacterium. RNAcentral's name for it is "partial 16S ribosomal RNA". It matches the Rfam family "Bacterial small subunit ribosomal RNA", at positions 338 to 795 of the family's 1533-position model. The record is from RNAcentral.
CCUACGGGAGACAGCAGUGAGGAAUAUUGGUCAAUGGGCGCGAGCCUGAACCAGCCAAGUAGCGUGAAGGAUGAAUGCCCUACGGGUUGUAAACUUCUUUUAUAAAGGAAUAAAGUGAGGCACGUGUGCCUUUUUGUAUGUACUUUAUGAAUAAGGAUCUGCUAACUCCGUGCCAGCAGCCGCGGUAAUACGGAGGAUCCGAGCGUUAUCCGGAUUUAUUGGGUUUAAAGGGAGCGUAGAUGGGUUGUUAAGUAAGCGGUGAAAGUCUGUGGCUCAACCAUAGAAUUGCCGUUGAAACUGGGAGGCUUGAGUAUGUUUGAGGCAGGCGGAAUGCGUGGUGUAGCGGUGAAAUGCUUAGAUCUCACGCAGAACCCCGAUUGCGAAGGCAGCCUGCCAAGCCAUGACUGACGCUGAUGCACGAAAGCGUGGGGAUCAAACAGGAUUAGAUACCCCAGUAGUC